UGGGGAAUCUUGGACAAUGGGGGCAACCCUGAUCCAGCCAUGCCGCGUGAGUGAUGAAGGCCUUAGGGUCGUAAAGCUCUUUCGCCUGUGAAGAUAAUGACGGUAACCGUAGAAGAAGCCCCGGCUAACUCCGUGCCAGCAGCCGCGGUAAUACGAAGGGUGCUAGCGUUGUUCGGAAUUACUGGGCGUAAAGCGCACGUAGGCGGACCAGAAAGUUGGGGGUGAAAUCCCGGGGGGCUCAACCCCGGAACUGCCUCCAAAACUAUUGGUCUAGAGUUCGAGAGAGGUGAGUGGAAUUCCAAGUGUAGAGGUGAAAUUCGUAGAUAUUUGGAGGAACACCAGUGGCGAAGGCGGCUCACUGGCUCGAUACUGACGCUGAGGUGCGAAAGUGUGGGGAGCAAACAGGAUUAGAUACCCUGGUAGUCCACACCGUAAAACGAUGAAUGCCAGUCGUCGGGUAGCAUGCUAUUCGGUGACACACCUAACGGAUUAAG
This 494-nucleotide ribosomal RNA is filed under the name uncultured bacterium. RNAcentral describes it as "bacterial SSU rRNA". It matches the Rfam family "Bacterial small subunit ribosomal RNA", at positions 355 to 864 of the family's 1533-position model. The record is from RNAcentral.